Molecule: non-coding RNA, 2079 nt
Organism: Leptonychotes weddellii (Weddell seal)
Lineage: Eukaryota; Metazoa; Chordata; Mammalia; Carnivora; Phocidae
Source: RefSeq, a predicted model, not a curated record
UGCCAUUUCAAUUGCAGGUUUCACUUACUUCCUUGAAUCUCGAAGACUUCUCCCCAAACAGCUUAUUGACGCUCUCCAAUAAAUACUCCCCUGUGGAUGCAUUGAUCGCAGAGCUGAGAGAGCGGAAGGAUGAAUGGAUUGCAGCUCCAGCUUGUGCCUUAAACAGAAAGGAGGGAUCUCUUUAUGUAACACAGGACGGCUAAACAACAUACUUCGAGCACAUACCUGCUGGAACAGAGUUGCACAGAGAACAGCCCUCAGGCAUUCCGCCCUAGAAAGACAGCUGCGUGAGGGAGCUGAGGUUUUUCUUGUGCAAUGGAGUCUCCUUGUUGCUAUGUUGGAGGUGGAGAGAGAAAUCUUUGGGUGGCGCCAUGUUCCGUAUGGAUGUUCAAGCAAUGGGCGGAGGCUGGCUCAUUGACUAACUUCAUUAGUACUUUCAAUUCAUGUAGAAAUCCAAGUAUAGCUGUACACCGAGGGACUGAGUAAGCUAUAUACAAGGGUUCCCUGGAGAAGGACUUGAGACGAUGAACACCUAAAGGCCGGAAGAACGAAGAGUGUGAUGAAGUGGAGAUAAAUACAGAAAAGAGAACUAGCAUCAAAUAAAGCACACUUGCCUAUGAAAUGAUUUCAAGUGUGAAACUUUUUUGUCCACUUGAAAAUCUUCUAUAAGUUUUAUUCUAACCUGUACCCAUUCCCACAGGAGGGAAAGGAGGGAAAUGACUCCCUUCUGUUCCUGUCUGCUUCAUUUUCUACCAUCGAGGCCCUGGCUCUGAGUCUCACAACACAAACCAGGAAAUAGGGCAGGGCUGAUCAUGGUCAAGGUCUAGGGUCUUAUAUCAGACUUUCUGGGUUUUAAAAUCCAGUCUGUCACUUUUCAUUUGUGUGUUGAAUGACUAAGCCUAAGCCUCAGGUUCUCAUCUUUAAAAUGGAGGAAACUAAUCCUGCCACUGAGGGUUUUGAUGAGAACUACAUGAAGUUGUGAUUGUGAGUGCUAGGCACAUGCCUCAUGCCUAGCGAAGGUUAGCUCCUCUCACUAAUAGCACAGUUCAGCUGCAGGUGAGGUAAAUGAGUUCUGAAGAACUCGCUUGGUGACCUAAUCACACUGAAUAACAUUGUUUCUUUGGAAAAAGGCAGUAUUCUGAGUUUUAGCAACCUAUGAAUGAGGUUUAUGAGUAAGUUGAAGGCUACCAAAGAAAGAAGCAGCAUUGAUCCUAAUUUUUUAAUAAGUACAAUUAAUGUCAUGCUAUAACUUCUUUAACCAAUGUAAACCAACCCAAGGAAGAAUGAGUUGGAUAUUCUACAUGAGAUAGUUGAAAGAAAAAUAUUGCUAUGAAGCAUAUCAUAUCUCUUUUAGUUGCAACUCUACUGAAAGUUUUCUUCAAGCUCAUAAAAUCCAGCUGAUUUGAAGAAUUAGAGUGGUUUGAAUAUAAAUUCAUUCCCUUCCUUAUAGGCUGGAUAUUCUGCCAUAGAAGAGAACCAUCUUAGUUUCCUUGUGUAAGAUAAAGAAGAGGAGAGGACCACCCACCUUGAAGAUGUCAGGAUUUUCCACUUUGCUCAUUUGGUUGAAAUAUCUGAUCACUAUCGUGAUGAUUUGAAAGGAAGAGUCACCUCAACAAAGCAGCUGCUGAAGGACAAAAUGUCUGUCUCUCAAUAUGUUCUUUUCACUCAACUGGAUGUGGUUGAUGCCCAGAAGCAGUUAAUUCACUUCAAAGAACUGGGAAAUGUGCACCAAAAGAUCUUAUCAGGAAAACUUUUUAAAAGUCAGAUAGAUCCUUUCAAGAACAUAAUUUAGAAAUCUUUCCAGAUCAAGUAAAAUGUGACUCAUCUGGACUAAUCUGCAGCAUUGAGGUGCAUGGUACAAAGUAGUCACAAAACAGCUAAGAAUAUAAGUGAGCUAAGUAGCUAAGUGAGUUCCAUAUAAUGAGACCACUUUAAGGAAAUCUAGUUGUGACCCCAACCAUAUUUUGUUUUUCUGUAUGACAUGCUAGUGAACAUAACAUAAAGAUACUUGCAUUGUGUAUGUAAACCAAAGGGACCAGAUUUCACUAGAAAUUAAAGAUUCCAAUUGAUUAACUGUUU